RNAcentral lists this long non-coding RNA (113 nucleotides) under Canis lupus familiaris (dog). RNAcentral's name for it is "lncRNA (ENSCAFG00030003292.1)". The record is from RNAcentral. Lineage: Eukaryota; Metazoa; Chordata; Mammalia; Carnivora; Canidae.
CGUUACACCCUUUCUUGACAAAACCUAACUUGCGCAGAAACCGAGAUGAGAUUGGCAUGGCUUUAUUUGUUUUUGUUUUUUUUUUUUUAAUUUUUGUUUUUAUUUUAUUUUGA